Molecule: long non-coding RNA, 1329 nt
Filed under: Vulpes vulpes (red fox)
Lineage: Eukaryota; Metazoa; Chordata; Mammalia; Carnivora; Canidae
Description: lncRNA (ENSVVUG00000023106.1)
Source: RNAcentral
AUGUGCUUACUUCUCACGAGGAUAUUCAGCGCCCUGAUCACUGGCACAAAGAAAAACAAACAAACAAACAAAAAAGCAUCAGAGCUUCCAAGUGUCUCCCGUUCUGUUCUGGCCACAUUAGGUCUCUUUCCCAACUCAGCACACCUGGGAGGGCCGCACCCGGGCCAGGCACCCAAGCUCUGCAGUCCCAAGAACGACCAGGAUAGGGGCGCUGCUAGGAGGGGCCUGUGCGCAGGGUUCAGGUCGAGGCCUUGGGCGCCUGGCGCAGGUGCGGGCAGGCUCGCGGGGAGCACCCUGCGGACCCGGGUCGGGGCGCAGCACCCACACCCAGGAAAGCGGCAUGUGGGCGCCCGUUCACUCGCUCGGAUCACAAAAGCGUGUCCCGGCCAGUGUGUGCCGGUGUUCGCAGGCGCGGGCCGCGGCGGGCGGCUUGGGCAGUUCCCCGGCGUCACCCCCCGCCCGCACCCACCCGUGACCGCGCCGGCACCCCGAGUUGCACACGACUCAGGGGGAUCCACACGGGCACCCCGACUUGCACACGACUCGGGAUGCACGCUCGGCCCAGGGGGAUCCACGCAGGCACCCCAACUUGCACACGACUCAGAGGGAUCCACACGGGCACCCCGACUUGCACACGACUCAGGGGGAUCCACACGGGCACCCCGACUUGCACACGACUCAGGGGAUCCACACGGGCACCCCGACUUGCACACGACUCAGGGGAUCCACACGGGCACCCCCACUUGCACACGGCACCCCAACUUGCACACGACUCGGGCUGCACGCCCGGCCAGGGGGAUCCACAGGGCACCCCGACUUGCACAGGACACAGGGGGAUCCACACGGGCACCCCGACUUGCACAGGACUCAGGGGAUCCACACGGGCACUCCCACUUGCACACGGCACCCCGACUUGCACACGACUCGGGCUGCACGCCCGGCCAGGGGGAUCCACAGGGCACCCCGACUUGCACAGGACUCAGGGGGAUCCACACGGGCACCCCGACUUGCACACGACUCAGAGGGAUCCACACGGGCACCCCGACUUGCACACGACUCAGGGGGAUCCACACGGGCACCCCGACUUGCACACGACUCAGGGGAUCCACACGGGCACCCCCACUUGCACACGGCACCCCGACUUCCACACGACUCGGGCUGCACGCCCGGCCAGGGGGAUCCACAGGGCACCCCGACUUGCACACGACUCGGGGGGAUCCACAGGGCACCCCGACUUGCACACGGCACCCCGACUUGCACACGACUCGGGCUGCACGCCCGGCCAGGGGGAUCCACAGGGCACCCCGACUUGCAGAACUGCAGCUCUGA